AUUUGUAUUCACACUAAUUCCUUGAAAAAGCCUGAUCUAAUCUCAUCUCUGAAGCUAUGCAGGGAUGGGCCUGGUUAAUACUUAGGUGGAAGGCUGCUGGGAAUACCAGGUGCUGCAGAAG
Molecule: ribosomal RNA, 121 nt
Filed under: Periophthalmus magnuspinnatus
Lineage: Eukaryota; Metazoa; Chordata; Actinopteri; Gobiiformes; Gobiidae
Source: RNAcentral